UGGGGAAUAUUGCACAAUGGGCGCAAGCCUGAUGCAGCCAUGCCGCGUGUAUGAAGAAGGCCUUCGGGUUGUAAAGUACUUUCAGCGAGGAGGAAGGCGGUAAGGUUAAUAACCUUAUCGAUUGACGUUACUCGCAGAAGAAGCACCGGCUAACUCCGUGCCAGCAGCCGCGGUAAUACGGAGGGUGCAAGCGUUAAUCGGAAUUACUGGGCGUAAAGCGCACGCAGGCGGUCUGUCAAGUCGGAUGUGAAAUCCCCGGGCUCAACCUGGGAACUGCAUUCGAAACUGGCAGGCUAGAGUCUUGUAGAGGGGGGUAGAAUUCCAGGUGUAGCGGUGAAAUGCGUAGAGAUCUGGAGGAAUACCGGUGGCGAAGGCGGCCCCCUGGACAAAGACUGACGCUCAGGUGCGAAAGCGUGUGGAUCAAACA
This 427-nucleotide ribosomal RNA is filed under the name uncultured bacterium. RNAcentral describes it as "partial 16S ribosomal RNA". It matches the Rfam family "Bacterial small subunit ribosomal RNA", at positions 355 to 774 of the family's 1533-position model. The record is from RNAcentral.